This 372-nucleotide ribosomal RNA is filed under the name uncultured bacterium. Its description in RNAcentral is "bacterial SSU rRNA". It matches the Rfam family "Bacterial small subunit ribosomal RNA", at positions 527 to 896 of the family's 1533-position model. The record is from RNAcentral.
GUACGGAGCAAGCGUUGUUCGGAUUUACUGGGCGUAAAGGGCGCGUAGGCGGCGCGGUAAGUCACUUGUGAAAUCUCUGAGCUUAACUCAGAACGGCCAAGUGAUACUGCAGUGCUAGAGUGCAGAAGGGGCAAUCGGAAUUCUUGGUGUAGCGGUGAAAUGCGUAGAUAUCAAGAGGAACACCUGAGGUGAAGACGGGUUGCUGGGCUGACACUGACGCUGAGUGCGCGAAAGCCAGGGGAGCAAACGGGAUUAGAUACCCCGGUAGUCCUGGCCCUAAACGAUGAAUACUUGGUGUCUGGAGUUUCAAUACUCCGGGUGCCGUCGCUAACGUUUUAAGUAUUCCGCCUGGGGAGUACGCUCGCAAGAGUG